UACGUAGGUGGCAAGCGUUGUCCGGAUUUACUGGGCGUAAAGGGAGCGUAGGCGGAUUUUUAAGUGGGAUGUGAAAUACCCGGGCUCAACCUGGGUGCUGCAUUCCAAACUGGGAAUCUAGAGUACAGGAGGGGAGAGUGGAAUUCCUAGUGUAGCGGUGAAAUGCGUAGAGAUUAGGAAGAACACCAGUGGCGAAGGCGACUCUCUGGACUGUAACUGACGCUGAGGCUCGAAAGAGUGGGGAGCAAACAGG
RNAcentral lists this ribosomal RNA (253 nucleotides) under uncultured bacterium. RNAcentral's name for it is "partial 16S ribosomal RNA". It matches the Rfam family "Bacterial small subunit ribosomal RNA", at positions 524 to 776 of the family's 1533-position model. The record is from RNAcentral.